GCGCCCCGUCGACUGCCGGCAGCUGCGAGUUUAAGAUGCGUUUGAAAUUUUGGCAGAAAUCGUGUAUUUAACGAUUCCAGCUUUCCUCCUCCCCGACCCGCAUUUGCUUAAUUAGCAGCUGUCGGUGAACAGUGCUCACCCGCUUGUCCCCACACAUCGCCCUUCCUGCUUGAGCUGUCAGCCUUGGGCCGCGAUGCACGUCGUCAGGACACAGGGCACAGCCUCGACGGGGAGGGUGUUUUGACAAUUCAAACGGAAAUUAAAUUUGUUACGAAAUGAAUGGGCGCCUCCAUAAAAACUUGGGUGUCAUUUCAUCAUUCUGCACAUUUUCAUUCGCCCUUUCACUUAGAAAUAAAUGCAAAGCAAAAAAAAAAA
Long non-coding RNA from Myotis lucifugus (little brown bat), 375 nucleotides. RefSeq lists it as uncharacterized. The record is from RefSeq and is a predicted model, not a curated record. Lineage: Eukaryota; Metazoa; Chordata; Mammalia; Chiroptera; Vespertilionidae. The transcript is spliced from 2 exons.